Molecule: ribosomal RNA, 596 nt
Filed under: uncultured fungus
Lineage: Eukaryota; Fungi
Description: eukaryotic LSU rRNA
Rfam family: 5.8S ribosomal RNA (bases 195-348)
Source: RNAcentral
AGUAAAAGUCGUAACAAGGUUUCCGUAGGUGAACCUGCGGAAGGAUCAUUACCUAGAGUUUGUAGACUUCGGUCUGCUACCUCUUACCCAUGUCUUUUGAGUACCUUCGUUUCCUCGGCGGGUCCGCCCGCCGAUUGGACAACAUUCAAACCCUUUGCAGUUGCAAUCAGCGUCUGAAAAAACAUAAUAGUUACAACUUUCAACAACGGAUCUCUUGGUUCUGGCAUCGAUGAAGAACGCAGCGAAAUGCGAUAAGUAGUGUGAAUUGCAGAAUUCAGUGAAUCAUCGAAUCUUUGAACGCACAUUGCGCCCCUUGGUAUUCCAUGGGGCAUGCCUGUUCGAGCGUCAUUUGUACCUUCAAGCUCUGCUUGGUGUUGGGUGUUUGUCUCGCCUCUGCGUGUAGACUCGCCUUAAAACAAUUGGCAGCCGGCGUAUUGAUUUCGGAGCGCAGUACAUCUCGCGCUUUGCACUCAUAACGACGACGUCCAAAAGUACAUUUUUACACUCUUGACCUCGGAUCAGGUAGGGAUACCCGCUGAACUUAAGCAUAUCAAUAAGCGGAGGAAAAGAAACCAACAGGGAUUGCCCUAGUAACG